CGGUCAAGCUAGAAAGGGCGCAGGGCGAAUGCCUUGGCACUGGGAGCCGACGAAAGACGUGAUAAGCUGCGAUAAGCUGCGGGGAGAUGCAAAUAAUCUUUGAUCCGCAGAUUUCUGAAUGGGGAAACCCACCGGAGCAAUACUCCGGUACCAUACACUGAAUCAAAUAGGUGUAUGGAGGGAACCGCCUGAACUGAAACAUCUAAGUAGGGCGAGGAAGAGACAUCAACCGAGAUUCCGUAAGUAGUGGCGAGCGAACGCGGAAGAGGCCAAACCUGGGGUAGAAAUACCGCAGGGGUUCGGACUGCUUUUAGGACUGCAACUGUUAGCCGAAUGGCAUGGGAAGGCCAUCCGGAGAGUGUGAGAGACACGUAGGCGAAAACGGGAGCAGCUGCGCAGUAUCCAGAGUACGGCCAGACACGUGAAACCUGGUCGGAAGACGGGGGGACCACCCUCCAAGCCUAAAUACUACCCAGUGACCGAUAGCGUAUAGUACUGUGAAGGAAAGGUGAAAAGCACCCCGGGAGGGGAGUGAAAGAGAACCUGAAACCCUGUGCCUACAAGCACAUAGAGCACGUCAAAGUGUGAUAUGGUACUUUUUGUAGAACGGUCCGGCGAGCGACUGUAUGCAGCAAGGUUAAGUUGCUGGAGCAACGGAGCCGAAGCGAGAGCGAGUCUGAACAGGGCGUUUAGUUGCAUGCAGUGGGCCCGAAACCGGGUGACCUAUCCAUGGUCAGGUUGAAGUGGAGGUAAAACUCCAUGGAGGAC
Molecule: ribosomal RNA, 768 nt
Filed under: Gemmiger sp. An120
Lineage: Bacteria; Bacillati; Bacillota; Clostridia; Eubacteriales; Oscillospiraceae
Description: bacterial LSU rRNA
Rfam family: Bacterial large subunit ribosomal RNA
Source: RNAcentral